UGGGGAAUCUUGGACAAUGGGGGCAACCCUGAUCCAGCCAUGCCGCGUGAGUGAUGAAGGCCUUAGGGUCGUAAAGCUCUUUCGCCUGUGAAGAUAAUGACGGUAGCAGGUAAAGAAACCCCGGCUAACUCCGUGCCAGCAGCCGCGGUAAUACGGAGGGGGCAAGCGUUGUUCGGAAUUACUGGGCGUAAAGGGCGUGUAGGCGGUCUAAUCAGUCAGUGGUGAAAGCCCUGGGCUCAACCCAGGAAUUGCCUUUGAUACUGUUAGACUAGAGUUCGGGAGAGGAUAGUGGAAUUCCCAGUGUAGAGGUGAAAUUCGUAGAUAUUGGGAAGAACACCAGUGGCGAAGGCGGCUAUCUGGACCGAUACUGACGCUGAGGCGCGAAAGCGUGGGGAGCAAACAGGAUUAGAUACCCUGGUAGUCCACGCCGUAAACGGUGGGCGCUAGGUGUGGGG
Molecule: ribosomal RNA, 455 nt
Filed under: uncultured bacterium
Lineage: Bacteria
Description: bacterial SSU rRNA
Rfam family: Bacterial small subunit ribosomal RNA
Source: RNAcentral